GAGGGGCCCGCGUCCGAUUAGCUAGUUGGUGGGGUAAUGGCCUACCAAGGCUACGAUCGGUAGCCGGUCUGAGAGGACGAUCGGCCACACUGGGACUGAGACACGGCCCAGACUCCUACGGGAGGCAGCAGUGGGGAAUAUUGGACAAUGGGCGCAAGCCUGAUCCAGCCAUGCCGCGUGAGUGAAGAAGGCCUUCGGGUUGUAAAGCUCUUUUGGCGGGGACGAUGAUGACGGUACCCGCAGAAUAAGCCCCGGCUAACUUCGUGCCAGCAGCCGCGGUAAGACGAAGGGGGCAAGCGUUGUUCGGAAUUACUGGGCGUAAAGGGCGCGUAGGCGGCCAUUUUAGUCAGACGUGAAAGGCCUGGGCUCAACCUAGGAAUUGCGUUUGAUACUGAGUGGCUAGAGAGCGGGAGAGGAUGGUGGAAUUCCCAGUGUAGAGGUGAAAUUCGUAGAUAUUGGGAAG
Molecule: ribosomal RNA, 463 nt
Filed under: uncultured Pseudomonadota bacterium
Lineage: Bacteria; Pseudomonadati; Pseudomonadota
Description: bacterial SSU rRNA
Rfam family: Bacterial small subunit ribosomal RNA
Source: RNAcentral